UACGUAGGCAGCAAGCGUUGUUCGGAGUUACUGGGCGUAAAGCGCACGUAGGCGGAUCGAUCAGUCAGGGGUGAAAUCCCAGGGCUCAACCCUGGAACUGCCUUUGAUACUGUCGAUCUGGAGUAUGGAAGAGGUGAGUGGAAUUCCGAGUGUAGAGGUGAAAUUCGUAGAUAUUCGGAGGAACACCAGUGGCGAAGGCGGCUCACUGGUCCAUUACUGACGCUGAGGUGCGAAAGCGUGGGGAGCAAACAGG
This 253-nucleotide ribosomal RNA is filed under the name uncultured bacterium. Its description in RNAcentral is "partial 16S ribosomal RNA". It matches the Rfam family "Bacterial small subunit ribosomal RNA", at positions 524 to 776 of the family's 1533-position model. The record is from RNAcentral.